This 491-nucleotide ribosomal RNA is filed under the name uncultured bacterium. RNAcentral describes it as "partial 16S ribosomal RNA". It matches the Rfam family "Bacterial small subunit ribosomal RNA", at positions 29 to 506 of the family's 1533-position model. The record is from RNAcentral.
AGUGAACGCUGGCGGUAGGCCUAACACAUGCAAGUCGAACGGCAGCACAGUAAGAGCUUGCUCUUACGGGUGGCGAGUGGCGGACGGGUGAGGAAUACAUCGGAAUCUACUUUUUCGUGGGGGAUAACAUAGGGAAACUUACGCUAAUACCGCAUACGACCUACGGGUGAAAGCAGGGGAUCUUCGGACCUUGCGCGAUUGAAUGAGCCGAUGUCGGAUUAGCUAGUUGGCGGGGUAAAGGCCCACCAAGGCGACGAUCCGUAGCUGGUCUGAGAGGAUGAUCAGCCACACUGGAACUGAGACACGGUCCAGACUCCUACGGGAGGCAGCAGUGGGGAAUAUUGGACAAUGGGCGCAAGCCUGAUCCAGCCAUACCGCGUGGGUGAAGAAGGCCUUCGGGUUGUAAAGCCCUUUUGUUGGGAAAGAAAAGCAGCAGGUUAAUACCCCGCUGUUCUGACGGUACCCAAAGAAUAAACACCGGCUAACUUCGU